AUACAGAGGAUGCGAGCGUUAUCCGGAUUUAUUGGGUUUAAAGGGUGCGUAGGCUGUGCGUUAAGUCAGGGGUGAAAUGCCGUCGCUCAACGACGGAGCUGCCCUUGAUACUGGCGUGCUGGAGUACGGAUGCCGUUGGAGGAAUGAGUGGUGUAGCGGUGAAAUGCUUAGAUAUCACUCAGAACACCGAUUGCGAAGGCAUCUGACGAAUCCGUCACUGACGCUGAGGCACGAAAGCGUGGGGAUAGAACAGGAUUAGAUACCCUGGUAUUCCACGCCGUAAACGAUGAUGACUAACCGUCGGCGAUAGACAGCCGGUGGCCAAGCGAAAGCGAUAAGUCAUCCACCUGGGGAGUACGUCGGCAACGAUGAAACUCAAAUGAAUUGACGGGG
RNAcentral lists this ribosomal RNA (393 nucleotides) under uncultured bacterium. Its description in RNAcentral is "partial 16S ribosomal RNA". It matches the Rfam family "Bacterial small subunit ribosomal RNA", at positions 523 to 918 of the family's 1533-position model. The record is from RNAcentral.